UCUUGCCCUAAUUCAGCAUCAGUACCUGAAACAGAUCUACCAUUGAUUGGAACUGGAUACUUCCGAGGUCUCCCCCGUGGUUUCUUAGGUUUUGUACAGAUUGCAGUUGUUGGGGAUGGGGCUGUCCACAAAUCUCCUGAUACAGUGCCAGAUACAGAUCUAGCAUUGAUUGGAACUGGAUACUUUCGAGGUCUUCCCCGUGGUUUCUUAGGUUUUGUACAGAUCACAGUUUUUGGAGAUGGGGCUGUACACACAUCUCCUGAUACAGUGCCAGAUGAACAGGUCGGUUUGUCAAUAAGCGGCAAUGCUGCAUCAACUGCAACAAUACUUAAAUUAGCAUUAAACUCUGUGCAAGCAUU
This 359-nucleotide long non-coding RNA is filed under the name Sorghum bicolor (sorghum). RNAcentral describes it as "long non-coding RNA (SBIC_LNC005785)". Lineage: Eukaryota; Viridiplantae; Streptophyta; Magnoliopsida; Poales; Poaceae. The record is from RNAcentral.